Small nucleolar RNA from Ailuropoda melanoleuca (giant panda), 59 nucleotides. The record is from Ensembl. NCBI's taxonomy places the organism in Eukaryota, Metazoa, Chordata, Mammalia, Carnivora, Ursidae.
UGCUCUGAUGAAAUCACUUAUAGGAAGUGCCGUCAGAAGCGAUACUAGCCAUUCUGACA